GUGGUGGCAAGCCUUCAUUCUUAUCAGAUAGAUCUGGUUUGGGGUAAACACCUAAAGUAAUCUGGAGUCAAAUCAGGCAGUUAAGAGUAAUGACAUUCAGUAAAGUGUGAAAUGGAAAAUGUAAUCUUGGCAACAAAAUAAUGAGAUUCUAGUUCACCAGAAAUAUGUUCUGAAACCAAUUUUCCUGAAGUAAGGCGAGUCAGAUUACAUGGACUUGAUGAGGGCUGGUCCCAGAAAUAAAGAAGGGCCAUCCUGAGGUGAAGACACCCUGAAGAUGAAAGAACACUGUCCAGGGUGGAAUAAAGUACACUGGGAACCAUAAUUGAUGACACACAGCUUCUCAAGGUUAUAGCGUGUGCAGAGCUAGAAACAACAUUGCAUUUCUGGCUAUGGGAAAGGCUUGUUAU
This 407-nucleotide long non-coding RNA is filed under the name Pan troglodytes (chimpanzee). RNAcentral's name for it is "long non-coding RNA NONPTRT014847". The record is from RNAcentral. Lineage: Eukaryota; Metazoa; Chordata; Mammalia; Primates; Hominidae.